AGAGUUUGAUCCUGGCUCAGGAUGAACGCUAGCGACAGGCUUAACACAUGCAAGUCGAGGGGCAGCGGGUAGAUGAGCUUGCUCAUUUAUGCCGGCGACCGGCGCACGGGUGAGUAACACGUAUGCAACCUGCCCGUCUCAGGGGGAUAAUCGUCGGAAACGGCGUCUAAUACCCCGUAUGAAGCCGGACGGCAUCGUCUGGUUUUGAAAGAAUAUCGGAGACGGAUGGGCAUGCGGCGCAUUAGCUAGUUGGCGGGGUAACGGCCCACCAAGGCGACGAUGCGUAGGGGUUCUGAGAGGAAGGUCCCCACACUGGUACUGAGACACGGACCAGACUCCUACGGGAGGCAGCAGUGAGGAAUAUUGGUCAAUGGUCGGGAGACUGAACCAGCCAAGCCGCGUGAGGGAGGAAGGUACAGAGUAUCGUAAACCUCUUUUGUCAGGGAACAAAGGCGGGGACGUGUCCCCGGAUGAGUGUACCUGAAGAAAAAGCAUCGGCUAACUCCGUGCCAGCAGCCGCGGUAAUACGGAGGAUGCGAGCGUUAUCCGGAUUUAUUGGGUUUAAAGGGUGCGCAGGCGGUCUGUUAAGUCAGCGGUCGAAGCCCGGGGCUCAACCCCGGCCCGCCGUUGAAACUGGCAGUCUCGGGUUGGAGAGAAGUAUGCGGAAUGCGCGGUGUAGCGGUGAAAUGCAUAGAUAUCGCGCAGAACUCCGAUUGCGAAGGCAGCAUGCCGGCUCCACACUGACGCUGAGGCACGAAAGCGUGGGUAUCGAACAGGAUUAGAUACCCUGGUAGUCCACGCAGUAAACGAUGAAUGCUGGCUGUCCGGGGGGAUUGACCCCUGGGUGGCGAAGCGAAAGCGAUAAGCAUCCCACCUGGGGAGUACGCCGGCAACGGUGAAACUCAAAGGAAUUGACGGGGGCCCGCACAAGCGGAGGAACAUGUGGUUUAAUUCGAUGAUACGCGAGGAACCUUACCCGGGCUUGAAUUGCAGAGGAAAGAUCCAGAGAUGGUGAUGCCCUUCGGGGCCUCUGUGAAGGUGCUGCAUGGUUGUCGUCAGCUCGUGCCGUGAGGUGUUGGCUUAAGUGCCAUAACGAGCGCAACCCCUUUCCCUAGUUGCCAUCGGUUCUAGCCGGGCACUCUGGGGACACUGCCUCCGCAAGGAGUGAGGAAGGUGGGGAUGACGUCAAAUCAGCACGGCCCUUACGUCCGGGGCUACACACGUGUUACAAUGGGUGAUACAGAGGGCCGGCCGCUGGCAACAUCGGUCCAAUCCUUAAAGUCAUCCUCAGUUCGGACUGGGGUCUGCAACCCGACCCCACGAAGCUGGAUUCGCUAGUAAUCGCGCAUCAGCCAUGGCGCGG
Molecule: ribosomal RNA, 1363 nt
Filed under: uncultured bacterium
Lineage: Bacteria
Description: bacterial SSU rRNA
Rfam family: Bacterial small subunit ribosomal RNA
Source: RNAcentral